GUGGUCCUGGAUCUAAAUCAGCUUAUUUUCCCCUAUCUUUUCUUUUAUUUCUUCUUUCUUUUGUUACUCCCUGAUGUGAGUGUAAGUCAACAUUUUUUUUGCCAAUAUUGUCAUAGAAUAUAUAUUUAUAUUUAAUUGUAUAAAAUAAAUAUGCAAUUAGUUUUGAAGUGCAGUAAACAAAACAUUUAAAAAAUUAAUUUCUUUUCUUUUGAUAUAUUAAUUC
RNAcentral lists this long non-coding RNA (223 nucleotides) under Mytilus galloprovincialis (Mediterranean mussel). Lineage: Eukaryota; Metazoa; Mollusca; Bivalvia; Mytilida; Mytilidae. The record is from RNAcentral.